Molecule: ribosomal RNA, 500 nt
Filed under: uncultured bacterium
Lineage: Bacteria
Description: partial 16S ribosomal RNA
Rfam family: Bacterial small subunit ribosomal RNA
Source: RNAcentral
AUUGAACGCUGGCGGAAUGCUUUACACAUGCAAGUCGAACGGCAGCACGGACUUCGGUCUGGUGGCGAGUGGCGAACGGGUGAGUAAUGUAUCGAAACGUGCCCAGUCGUGGGGGAUAACGUAGUGAAAAUUACGCUAAUACCGCAUACGAUCUAUGGAUGAAAGCGGGGGAUCGCAAGACCUCGCGCGAUUGGAGGGGCCGAUAUCAGAUUAGGUAGUUGGUGGGGUAAAGGCCCACCAAGCCAACGAUCUGUAGCUGGUCUGAGAGGACGACCAGCCACACUGGAACUGAGACACGGUCCAGACUCCUACGGGAGGCAGCAGUGGGGAAUUUUGGACAAUGGGCGAAAGCCUGAUCCAGCCAUUCCGCGUGCAGGAUGAAGGCCCUCGGGUUGUAAACUGCUUUUGUACAGAACGAAAAGGUUUCUACUAAUACUAGGAGCUCAUGACGGUACUGUAAGAAUAAGCACCGGCUAACUACGUGCCAGCAGCCGCCGUAA